GCCUACCUGAUGAGUCCCAAAAAGGGCGAAACUGGUCGUGGGC
Clonorchis sinensis is the source of this 43-nucleotide non-coding RNA. Lineage: Eukaryota; Metazoa; Platyhelminthes; Trematoda; Opisthorchiida; Opisthorchiidae. The record is from Rfam.